This 262-nucleotide ribosomal RNA is filed under the name uncultured archaeon. RNAcentral's name for it is "partial 16S ribosomal RNA". It matches the Rfam family "Archaeal small subunit ribosomal RNA", at positions 720 to 982 of the family's 1478-position model. The record is from RNAcentral.
CACUGACAUUAGAUACCCGUGUAGUCCAGGGUGUAAACGCUGCAGACUUGGUGUUGGGAACCCUUCGGGGGUGCUCAGUGCCGGAGAGAAGUUGUUAAGUCUGCUACUUGGGGAGUACGUCCGCAAGGAUGAAACUUAAAGGAAUUGGCGGGGGAGCACCGCAACGGGAGGAGCGUGCGGUUUAAUUGGAUUCAACGCCGAAAAACUCACCAGCAGCGACUGUUACUUGAAAGUCAGGUUGAUGACCUUACUAGAUUUUCAG